AAUGAACGUUGGCGGCGUGGAUUAGGCAUGCAAGUCGCGCGAGAACCAGCAAUGGGGACAGCGGCGAAAGGGACAGUAAUGUGUAGAUUAUCUGCCCUCGGGUCCGGGAUAGCUGCGGGAAACUGCAGGUAAUACCGGAUAACAUCUCCGGAUCAAAGGUGUGAUUCCGCCCGAGGAUGAGUCUACAUCCUAUUAGCUAGUUGGUAGGGUAAUGGCCUACCAAGGCUUUGAUGGGUAGCAGGUGUGAGAGCACGACCUGCGUCAUUGGGACUGAGACACUGCCCAGACACCUACGGGAGGCAG
This 303-nucleotide ribosomal RNA is filed under the name uncultured Planctomycetota bacterium. Its description in RNAcentral is "bacterial SSU rRNA". It matches the Rfam family "Bacterial small subunit ribosomal RNA", at positions 29 to 351 of the family's 1533-position model. Lineage: Bacteria; Pseudomonadati; Planctomycetota. The record is from RNAcentral.